Molecule: non-coding RNA, 871 nt
Filed under: Platysaurus minor
Lineage: Eukaryota; Metazoa; Chordata; Lepidosauria; Squamata; Cordylidae
Description: partial 12S ribosomal RNA
Rfam family: Bacterial small subunit ribosomal RNA
Source: RNAcentral
CCAAAAACACAACGUUUUGGUCCUGAACUUGCUGUUGUUUUUAACUAGUUUUACACAUGCAAGCAUCAACACCCCAGUGAAAAUACCCAUAUUAUAUCCUAAUAAGAUUAACGGAGUAGGUAUCAGGCACAACAACCUUAGCCAACGACACCUUGCAAAGCCACACCCCCACGGGCCCGCAGCAGUGAUUAACAUUAAACAUAAGCGAAAGCUUGAUUUAGCCAUAGUUUAUUUAGAGGUUGGUAAAUUUCGUGCCAGCCACCGCGGUUAUACGAGAAGCCCAAAACAACAACCAUCGGCGUAAAGAGUGGCUAGAGUCCUUCAACUAAGGGCGAAUACUUUCUCUGCUGUAAAACGCAAAAGAAAACAAGAACAUCAUACCCUUAAAUAUUCUUUACUCCACGAAAGCAAGGACACAAACUGGGAUUAGAUACCCCACUAUGCCCUGCCAUAAACUAAGAUAGAAAAACACAACCUAUCCGCCAAAGAACUACAAGCAAAAUGCUCAAAACUUAAAGGACUUGGCGGCAUUUUAUAUCAGUCUAGAGGAGCCCGUCCUAUAAUCGAUACUACACGUUAAACCAAACCACUUUUGGCCACUCCAGCCUAUAUACCGCCGUCGCCAGCUAACCUUGUGAAAGACAAAAAGUUAGCAAAAUAGCCCCCACUAGAACGUCAGGUCAAGGUGUAGCUAAUAAAGUGGAUGAGAUAGGCUACAUUUUUUUUCUAAAAAAAUCACGGACAGUACCAUGAAAUCUCGUACUCGAAGGAGAAUUUAGCAGUAAAACUAGAAAGAACUCUAAUUUUAACAUUGCCCUAAAAUGCGCACACACCGCCCGUCACCCUCCUCAACAAAGUUAGAUGAGGUAAG